RNAcentral lists this long non-coding RNA (449 nucleotides) under Brassica rapa (field mustard). RNAcentral's name for it is "long non-coding RNA (BRAP_LNC003221)". Lineage: Eukaryota; Viridiplantae; Streptophyta; Magnoliopsida; Brassicales; Brassicaceae. The record is from RNAcentral.
GCCUUGUGCAUCCCCGUUCGAGCCAUGAUAAACGGGUUGUUAUCUAUGUUGAUGGCUACGUCUGGUUGUGCGUAUCUAUUGUAUUGAGAUAUCUGCCUUGCCUGCCUCUCAGACUCCAUGGUUGUUGUUGUUGUUCUCCUCUCUUGUUGUUUCCCCAUGGCGGCUGUUGAUGCAGACUGUUGUUGAAAGGGGAGAGUAGUAGUAGUGCUGCGGAUGAAUGAUCUCGGGUCAUAUGCAUCUCUACUGCUUCUACCGUUGUCAAAAGGCGCCACAGGGCCCAUGAAUGCGCUUGGUUUGGCAGCUGAUUGAAUAGAAAGAGAUGGUUUCGGUUUAUAGAGUUUGGUUUUGGAAACAUUGGGAUGAGUGUUGAUGAUAAGUACCUGAGAGGUUUCUUUGUUGUGCUUGUAACGUUGCAUGAUGAUUCAGAGGAAUGUUUUGAGUAGUUUCAG